UUGUUCUGAUUAUUAUUAUUAUAAUUAUUAAGUCUUUCCACUUUUCUGUGGAAAGACUUAUUGUUUUUGUUCUGAUUAUUAUUAUUAUUAUUUUUUUUUUUUUUUCCGCCAACUUUUGUUCUUGCGAUAAAUGUUUGUUUCGCAAUAUGUCCCUUAGAUAUUUCUCAUAUUGUAUCGUAUAGUUUAUGCGCUUUUAAAUUUCACCCUGCUAAGCCGAACCAUUUUCUUUGUAAGAGUUAUCUCCCUUUUCACUGUUUAUCAUCAAAGCGUAUCUCCUUCGUAACAAAAAAAGAUAGCGACAAAAUUCUUUUUACAAAUUGUUCGUUACAUCCUCAGUAAUUUUUGGCGUAUUUGGAUCGAAGCGAUUCGAUGAAAUUUUAUAGGAGUUAUCUACCUUUACAAAAUAAAUUUGUCGGUAUGUUUAUUUAACUCAUUAACAGAUAACCGUAUAACCCUGGGAUGUUUUUAUUUGAGUCCCCUAGGUCCUAACUUAGAAAAUGAGUCAAGGUCAAGGUCAAGGUCAAU
RNAcentral lists this long non-coding RNA (525 nucleotides) under Mytilus galloprovincialis (Mediterranean mussel). Lineage: Eukaryota; Metazoa; Mollusca; Bivalvia; Mytilida; Mytilidae. The record is from RNAcentral.